CUCAAAGGAAUAGACGGGGACCCGCACAAGUGGUGGAGCAUGUGGUUUAUUUCGAAGAUACGCGAAGAACCUUACCUAGCCUUGACAUUGAUAGAAUACACCAGAGAUGGAGUAGUGCCUUUCGGGGAACUUGAAAACAGGUGCUGCACGGCUGUCGUCAGCUCGUGUCGUGAGAUGUUGGGUUAAGUCCCGCAACGAGCGCAACCCUCGUCCUUAGUUGCCAGCAGGUUAAGCUGGGCACUCUAAGGAGACUGCCUUCGUAAGGAGGAGGAAGGUGAGGACGACGUCAAGUCAUCAUGGCCCUUAUGGCUAGGGCUACACACGUGCUACAAUGGGGCGUACAGAGUGUUGCGAUACCGCGAGGUGGAGCUAAUCACUUAAAGCGUCUCUCAGUUCGGAUAGCAGUCUGCAACUCGACUGCUUGAAGCUGGAAUCACUAGUAAUCGUAGAUCAGCAAUGCUACGGUGAAUACGU
Molecule: ribosomal RNA, 474 nt
Filed under: uncultured bacterium
Lineage: Bacteria
Description: bacterial SSU rRNA
Rfam family: Bacterial small subunit ribosomal RNA
Source: RNAcentral